UUACCUAAACUAGAAUGUGAGGGAAUGCUGGGUAAUGCCAGCAGUCCGAGCAAUCGGACCCAAAACAAGGUGCUGCAUGGCUGUCGUCAGCUCGCGUCGUGAGAUGUUGGGUUAAGUCCCGCAACGAGCGCAACCCUUAUCAACAGUUGCCAUCAUUAAGUUGGGAACUCUGUUGAGACUGCCGUUGAUAAAACGGAGGAAGGUGGGGAUGAUGUCAAGUCAUCAUGGCCUUUAUGUUUAGGGCUACACACGUGCUACAAUGGUCGGUACAAAACGUCGCAAUCCCGCGAGGGGGAGCUAAUCGCUAAAACCGAUCUCAGUUCGGAUUGAAGUCUGCAACUCGACUUCAUGAAGUUGGAAUCGCUAGUAAUCGCAAAUCAGCAUGUUGCGGUGAAUACGUUCCCGGGUCUUGUACACACCGCCCGUCACAUCACGAAAGUAGGUUGUACUAGAAGUAGCUGGGCCAACUCGCAAGAGAGGCAGGUUACCACGGUAUGAUUUAUGAUUGGGGUGAAGUCGUAACAAGGUAGCC
RNAcentral lists this ribosomal RNA (532 nucleotides) under uncultured bacterium. Its description in RNAcentral is "bacterial SSU rRNA". It matches the Rfam family "Bacterial small subunit ribosomal RNA", at positions 971 to 1501 of the family's 1533-position model. The record is from RNAcentral.